AAAUGAAUAGACGGGGACCCGCACAAGCAGUGGAGUAUGUGGUUUAAUUCGAAGCAACGCGAAGAACCUUACCAGGGCUUGACAUCCCUCGCAAUCGCCAGAGAUGGUGAGUUCCCUUCGGGGACGAGGAGACAGGUGGUGCAUGGUUGUCGUCAGCUCGUGUCGUGAGAUGUUCGGUUAAGUCCGGCAACGAGCGCAACCCCUAUUGUCUGUUACUACCAUUAAGUUGAGGACUCAGACGAGACCGCCGUUGAGAAAACGGAGGAAGGUGGGGACGACGUCAAAUCAUCAUGCCCCUUAUGUCCUGGGCUACACACGUACUACAAUGGUACCCACAGCAGGCAGCGAAGGCGCGAGCCGGAGCGAAUCCCCAAAGGGUGUCCCAGUUCAGAUUGCAGGCUGCAACUCGCCUGCAUGAAGCAGGAAUUGCUAGUAAUGGCAGGUCAGCAUACUGCCGUGAAUACGUUCCCGGGUCUUGUACACACCGCCCGU
This 492-nucleotide ribosomal RNA is filed under the name uncultured bacterium. RNAcentral's name for it is "bacterial SSU rRNA". It matches the Rfam family "Bacterial small subunit ribosomal RNA", at positions 903 to 1397 of the family's 1533-position model. The record is from RNAcentral.